Long non-coding RNA from Carassius auratus (goldfish), 1234 nucleotides. RefSeq lists it as uncharacterized. NCBI's taxonomy places the organism in Eukaryota, Metazoa, Chordata, Actinopteri, Cypriniformes, Cyprinidae. The transcript has 3 exons. The record is from RefSeq and is a predicted model, not a curated record.
UCACUCGAGACGGAGCGAGAGAGAGAGAGAGAGAGAGAGAGAGAGAGAGAGAGGGAGAGGGAGAGGGAGCUGCGCUGGAAUCAUUCCUGCGAUGCCUCACUGCCUCACUGAAAUGACAUCGCAGAGAUGUUGUGGACAUUUCCAGCUCUGCAGCGGUAAGAGCAAGUCCCUCUGAUAAACACAAGACACACAAGGCCUUCUUUCAGUGAAAGCUCCUUUAGAGGGGCAGGAUGGCUAGGAUUAGCUUUCCUUCUGUCCUCGUCUCUCUCUCUCUCUCUCGUGAGUCUCUCUCCAGUAUUCUAGCAAUGUUUAGAGAGUUGUUUUUGACAGAUGUUUACAUUAUAUUCUAGAUAUGACCACAUGUUAUGUACUCUUCUCAGUCGUCAAAAGCAAUUGUCUGACUAAUUGAGAGAUUUUAAUAAUUUCCUUCUAGAAAGAACACUACAGCACCUCUGAAAGGCUCCAGCAAAGGUGUUAUUCGGCUACGUUCGAGGUUUUCUCUGGGUAAAGCUCAAACCAGCUAGAGCAAAAAUCACAGAAUUUUCCUCUCCUCUUUUAUUUCUCAUGUGCGGCAUUUGCAUUUUACUCAGCUUAGCAAAAGAAGUAGCCCGCAGCGAGAAAACUCUAUCCACUAUGCACAUAAGAAAGAAAGAAAGAGAGGGAGAACAAGAGAAUAAAAGACGUGAAAAAGAACACAGACAGGCUGACGGAAAGGAAAUGAGAGAUAAUCUCAACACUACUGUCCAUUUUUCCAAUGUAGUCGCAAGCCAUCAUCCGUAAUGGGAAAAAUCCACACAUUCUUUCUGUCACCGAACCGCUGAUAUCUUCAUUCUGUGGUCUUAAAUAGUCUUUUGAUGGUAUCUCGAGACCAAUUUACAGAUCUUCGCCAUUAUUACCAUAGAGUCGGUGCAUCAUGUCCGCCCAUCUUUUGGGAAGGGGUCAAUCUUUGCAUGUUACCUGAGGAUGCCACAGGCUUGUUAUCCUCCUCAGACCCUGCCAACCGUAUGUGUCCCCAUCUCUUCUGACAACUAAAGGGACAGAGAAUGACUCAAAGGGCCUUUAAAGUGAGUAAAACCCAUUCUCUUUAAUUCUGAUUACACUCAGAAAGUGUCUUUAGCAUGUGGCGGCUAAAUUGGGCUAUCAGCGCUAAGUAGCGGCGGGGAAGAAAAGAGCCAAUUAUGCCAGUCAAAGCCAGAUGAUGAUUCUCAUCUUCACUCUCUCUCUAACACACACA